CCUACGGGAGGCAGCAGUGGGGAAUAUUGCACAAUGGGGGAAACCCUGAUGCAGCGACGCCGCGUGAGUGAAGAAGUAAUUCGUUAUGUAAAGCUCUAUCAGCAGGGAAGAAAAUGACGGUACCUGAGUAAGCAGCCCCGGCAAACGACGUGCCAGCAUCCGCUGAAAUCCGUAGGGGGCAAGCGGUAUCCGGAUUUAAUGGGGGGAAAGGGAGCGUAGACGGCAGUGCAAGUCUGGAGUGAAAGGCGGGGGGUCAACCCCCGGACUGCUAUGGAAACUGGAGGGCUGGAGUGGAGGAGAGGUAAGUGGAAUGCCUGGUGUAGCGGUGAAAUGCGUAGAUAUUAGGCGGAACCCCAGUGGCGAAGGCGGCUUACUGGCCUGUAACUGACGUUGAGGCUCGAAAGCGUGGGGAGCAAACAGGAUUAGAUACCCUGGUAGUC
This 440-nucleotide ribosomal RNA is filed under the name uncultured bacterium. RNAcentral's name for it is "partial 16S ribosomal RNA". It matches the Rfam family "Bacterial small subunit ribosomal RNA", at positions 338 to 795 of the family's 1533-position model. The record is from RNAcentral.